Long non-coding RNA from Helianthus annuus (common sunflower), 251 nucleotides. RefSeq lists it as uncharacterized. NCBI's taxonomy places the organism in Eukaryota, Viridiplantae, Streptophyta, Magnoliopsida, Asterales, Asteraceae. The record is from RefSeq and is a predicted model, not a curated record. The transcript is spliced from 3 exons.
UGCCGCUUCUCUUCAUUCCCUGGAUACGAAACCCUAAAUCGACACGCAACCACCACAAUCAUUCAAUUCUGAAUAACCUCCGGUGAUUUAACCUUCAAGCUUCAUGUAUUGGAACUGUCAAGAUGUCUGUUUUGUACAUACCGCAGAUGAAGCAUUCAGGGGAGCAAGAAAAGGGCUCGGUGGCAAAACUAUUUGAGCAAGUUGGAUUGCAAAAGAUUUAAUCAUUACUUGAAGUGGAAGACCCUGAUGUG